This 270-nucleotide ribosomal RNA is filed under the name uncultured prokaryote. RNAcentral describes it as "partial 16S ribosomal RNA". It matches the Rfam family "Archaeal small subunit ribosomal RNA", at positions 474 to 743 of the family's 1478-position model. The record is from RNAcentral.
CACCUGCAACACAAGUGAUGGCCAGUUUUAUUGGGCUUAAAGCGUUCGUAGCCGGUCUAGUAGGUUCUCGGUGAAAUCGUUGCUCUUAAAGUAACGGCGUGCUGAGAAUACCGCUGGACUAGGAACCGGGAGAGGUGCGAGGUAUGCCUUGGGUAGGGGUGAAAUCCUGUAAUCCUUGGUGGACCGCCGGUGGCGAAGGCGUCGCACUGGAACGGGUUCGACGGUGAGGAACGAAAGCUAGGGUAGCAAAGCGGAUUAGAUACCCGCGUA